GGCAGCAUCCAAAUCAUGCAAGGUCUUCAAUGUCUCUGCUUCUGUUCUCAGGAAAAGAGCUUGAACUCAUAAACAUGCUGCAGAAGGGAGCAGAGGCUGCUCGGUUAAAGACACAGGUCCUGUAUCUUUCCUUAUCUUGGUGCCUUAGUGGUGUUGGAAGAUACCUUUGAAAGCUCAUUUCAAUUAUUUGAAGUUGUAGGAGCUUGUGAGUGAUGACUUGCAAAACGACAGGGAAGCCCAUUAGGAGGAAGUCUGAGCUUCCAGCCCAUCUGAAGACCAUCACUAGAUACCUGUGACAAAGUGAGAAAGCAGCUAUUUGCAGUCAGAAAAAGAUCCUUCAUUCAGGAAUUGAAAUGACCAGCAACUUGAUCUAAAACUUCCCAUCCUCAAGUACGGCACACUCCUGCCAUUGUGGUGCCAUCCGCUGUGACACUCUUACAGCAGGGUGACUGUGGGAGUGACUGGAUCUUCAACCUUCAGCCCCCAAAACUGUGAGCUAAAUAAACCCCUUCUCCUCAUAAAGUACCCAACCUCAGGUAUUUUUUUUUUUAAAGCAACAUAAAAUGGGCUAAUGGAGCAAUAUGAGGACAUUGGUUUACAAGCACUUAGGAAUACCUUAUAUGAAAGAGCUGCAGCCUUCAGUUUGUCUUUACAAAGGAUGGAUAUGUCUUUUCAAUUAACAGCUUGAAAAAGUCUGGAAUUAUUUCUUACCUCACAGCUGUCCUGUAAAGUAAUUUCCUUAUUUCUCUCAAGUUGAAAGAAAUGUCUACUGCUUCCUAUUAACUAGCUCAGGGAUUUUCAAAUUAGGUGAAUUUCACAAUUUGUGUGUUAACUGGGGGGAUCGGAGGUGGACUUCGUCAAUUUCCUAUGCCUAGAUUCCCCUAAGUCCACAGAAUCAGAAUUUUUAGCUGUGAUGUCCAAAUUAAGUCAGUUGAAAACCACUCCAUGUGCUUCUGAUGCAUAUCAAACUUGACAUCCAUGGGACCACAUUCUCUUUGACUGAUAAAAAUGUUCAAGCUUAGUAGCUAGGAAGAGCUUUCUGUAGGUAGUAUUAUCAUUUAAAAUGAACAGAUUUAACUUUUACAAAUGGACAUCCUUUUAAGAGGUUUGGGGCCGGUGGAUUUGAGGGGAGCUCUUAGAAUAUGUGUUGGGCUACCCUUACCUCUUCAUUGUCUGCAUUUCCCCCUCUGCCAUGGCCUGCUUGGUUUCCCAGUCUGUCUGCCCCUCUGGGUUAAAUGGAAAAAUUGACAUCUCACAUUUAAGGGAAUUUAUUGCAAAUUAAUGCAGUAGAGAUUUAUAUUUUCAUGUGAAAUAUCCUUUUAAUAGAGUAAAUAAUUGUUCCUCCCUCCAAUAUAUUUGUCUCAUUACUCUGGAUGCUCUAUAAUAGGAUUAUCUGUUAUAAACAUACACUUACAGAUCCAAAUAUAUGCACAGAUGAAAAAUAUCAAGCUUACAGGACAAGGUCAUCCCCCAAGCAUGGACACUCAAGGCCUUUUGGCUCUAUUUUCUCUAAGGAAAACUAAAGUCACAGUUGAACAAGGGAGCUUCCCUUGUCUCCUAGUUUCCACCAAGUGCUGGCUCUGACUCUGUUCUUUUGAUUUUUUUAGCGGCCUUCAGAGAAUUCUCAUGGAGGAGAGAAGGAAGUGGAUUGAAGAUGGGGUCGAGUUUCUAUCUGCUGUUUGACCCACGGAUUGCUGGAUAGACAUGACAUAUAGAAAACAGCUUGAUUCAUCCCACAGAAGUAGCAGAGAGUCCCAGGACCCAGCCUGCCCCACAGCAUCCCAGAGGGAUUUAUUCUCUUCUGAAGUUUGCAGAAGAAAUUGUUUUAUGAAUCAAUUUAAGACUAAUAAAUACAUAGAGUUCUAUUCCAAACAUAUUUUUUUUAAUUAUAAAAGAAGUACAUACCUCUUAAAAGGAUUAUGGGAGAAAGAGGAAUGUAGGAAAAAAAUAAGACAGAAAGUACAGGUAAGAGUGCUGAUUUUAGAAUCAGGGCCAUACGGACUAGAAUCAGCCUUACUUGCUGUAUACACUUGGGUGAGUUACUUCACAUUGCUGAGUGCAUUCUUCUCAUCUGCAAAAUGGGAACAACCUCUCUGUCUGUCAUGUGGUAAGGGUUUGCUAAAGUGUAUUUUGUAAAAGCACUUAGAAAAAUUCUUGGUAUAGAAUAGUGUUACCAUAAUACAGGUGAGGUAAGUGUUUUUACUGCUGGUAGGAUAGCUACUGACUACAUCCUUUCCAGGCAAAUGGGACUGACUUUGAACCCCUUUUGGUUUGGGGGAGAAUUACUGGUAUUGGUAUUCCUAGCAUUAAGGCCACAUAAUAUUUGAAGAACUGGUUGCAAUCUCUUAAAAGUGUUAUUACCAAGAAAUAGAUUUUGGUUAUGUCUGUUUUCAUGGUACAGUAACCGAAACCCCUUAGUUUUUGUCUUAAGCUUAUAAACAUAUUUUAGUUUGUAAAAAGUGAUAAAAAAAAUACCCUGAGAAACAAUUAAAGUUCAUAGGAAAAUAAGAAAUCUUCACAGUAAUGUUUCAUUGAAUCAUCACAUUUUUUUUUCCUGAAAUACCAAUGAAGAAUGGCAGUUUUGAUAUGUAAAACAGUAGUUAGUCUUUAUGUGGAUAACACUUUUAAAAGCCUAGAAAUAUUUCACAUUUGAAGAAAAACACUUGUUUCCCGUGUUGAAUCUGAUUAAAAUUCAAAUCUAUCUUAGCAUCUCAUUACUAUUUGAAAAAAGCAACCUUCACGCUUAAGGAGAACGGCUCGGAGUCCACAGGUCCGGUGGCUGCAGGCUCUGCCUCUGGCUGUCACUGUGCUGGGACCCCAGAGGACAGGGCCACAGCUACAUCCUUGUUAAAACAGUCAUGGCGGGAAGACUGGCCCCGAGUUUCCUGCCUUUCCCCUCUCCCAUCCCGACAUUGUUUCAGCUGCCAGAUCCUCAAUAUUUUCUCUCCAGCAAGGGAAAGGGAAGGGCAAAAAUGACUUUGAAAGAAUAACAUUUCUUUCUAUGGACUUAAAUAGAACACUCAACACAAAACAUCCUGUGCUUCCUUUUCAUGGAUAACGUGCUGCUUGUCGCCGUGAGUGAACUAAAAAGCAGGGCUGGGUGUUGAGAGAGUUGGUGUUGGAGCUGCCAGCUGGGCGGUGAAGAAAACGCCCCUUGGGUAUUUUAAGAGAAAAAAAUUCAUGUACCCUCCUUUGGAAUAUUGGUCUCCAACACAACUAAGUCCAUGGUCCAGGACGGUCCUCCAUGAACCAGUUUGAUCCACGGACCGCUUAAGAUCCGCAACAAGAUGGCAACAUCUGGGGGCCCAUCAGGUGGGAGUGCCAAGCAUGUCCUGAGAUUGCAAGUGACCUGGGAAGGUUGAUGAGCAAGCACAUCAAUAACGUCAUGCAAAUGGAUUUUCUAUGCAGAUGAAUGGAAGAGCUACAGUUCACUGAUCAGCUAAUACAGUUAAUUGGUUCCAAACACUCAAGCCUGCCAGAAAAAACAGACAAACUCUCAAGAACAACAAUGCCUAUUAUGUGUGCAGUAGGAGCUGCCAGAUUUUGAUUACUGGCCAGACAUUAACCCCUUUGAUGUCCUAUGGAAGAGAUGCCAAGUCUGAAUCCAGAUAUUUCCAGAAUUCUGCGGUCGUGUGUGAUUUAUAGAGACCCGCAAAACAAGUCCACUGGGAGGAGGAAGUGCACGUCAAGGGCCAUAUCUCCUCUUUGCUGAAUUCUGCCGUGUCUCCUGCUGACCAGUGGACAGAACACGACUCUGUCCCUCCUUGGGCCUGACUUGUGGUGAGGGGCAUAUUGCUCGUGCCCCACGUGUGGUGGUGUCUUCAUGUCAAGCUGGUGUCAGAUUCUGUCAGAGGAAAGCCUGUGGGUUCCAUGAGGCUGCCAUCUCCAGUAACGCUGCCGGAAAGAAGAAUUCCUGAACACUAAUCAGUGUCUUCCCCACUCUCACACAGCCCUGUAGGUAACAAAAAGAGAUGCUCAAUGAAGGAGGUGAAUUCUAAGUUUGAUGAUUAAAGAUAAAGGGGCUGGCAUCAUCCUCCAUCGAGUCAGUUGGUUGACUGUCACCUCUGCCCCUGUGCCGAGGGGCACCAAGAUGCAGAGCCGGCUGGAGCUGGCUGCUUCACUGGAAUCCACAGUAUGGAGUGGCUGGGGGUGGCCACACGAGCCGCUGCCCCUCCUGUUGGGCUGCACCAAAGAUCUUGCAAGCCAAAAUGAUCAGAAGAGGAUGGAGUUCUGAAACCAUACUUAAGUCAGGUUCAGGUCCAUAAUUUCUUCACCUCACAUCAGCUCCUAAAAAGGAUUGUAUUCUCCUAGUAAAUGAAAAAUAAGGGGGAAACAGAGGCUCUUUGAGUUUUCUGGUGAUUGGAAGGAGGGUGUGGAUAUUUAUUCAGAGUUUAUUUAUAUUGUUUGUCUUACAGUCUUAGUAUACCACCGACAAAUAACCAACUCCCUUCCAAAUCAACGAGAAAGCUGAAGGCUGAGUUAUUGGCAGUUUUUAUUUAAUUAAACUGUUUUGCAUUUCAGUAUCAAUAUUUUGAAUUUUAUACCAAGUCUCUCAGUCUCCCAACAGGCCCACAGUGAACUGGAGACAGCACACAUGGGGACACAUGGUAAGGAUGGAGCUGAAAGCGGAGGGGUGACACCCGACGCUUGCCCUUCCCAGACCUGCUGAACUUUCAUGUGGCAGCGGCAGGUCAGAUGUUGCCAAUAUUUAGAACACGCUUUUAAAUAUUCUAAUCGGUCUCCAAGUUCGACCUUUCCCCUUCCUUUCUCCCUUCUCCACAUCUCUGCUUAACUGCCCACAGUGCAAACACUGCACCAACGAAGCCCGGUCAGAUGCCAGACAGGGCUGUCUCAGGCUCUAAAAUUACCCACCCAAUGUGCCAUUGAUUAAAACCAUCCCUUGGAGUCCUUCCAGAAGCCCGACUCGGAGAGCUAGAAAGAAGUAUGUGAUUCUCUUUAUAGACUGACAUGUAAAUUAUGAAUUUGACUUUUAAUGAAAGGCAUUUUAAUAUUUUAUUUCACAGUCUGGUAAGAAAUAACUUCAGAAUGGGAAGUAGGUAUGGCUCCCUUCCAUGCCAGGCACCAUUCACCAGUCUCUGCCCUCCCUGUCUUGGGUCUGGGCCUGCUCUCAGAGCAAUAUGGCGCUCCAAGUCACCACUGCCCAUUGGUCAGAGUAGCCCUGCAAAUUGGCAUCUUUGUACUCUAUGGUGUUCUGUUUAACUUACUACAUAUACAGUAGCAGAAAACCAAGGCAUGAUAUACCUUACAAAUAACAUAUUUAAAAUUAACGGGAGCACUGAAUUUGCAUAAAUGAGAAUGUAUAGUCAUCUUUGCUUAGGGAAACCAGUCUUAAAAUGUACUUUUUAGUUAAAACCUAUGCAUUAGAACAGAUUUUAGUGAAAAUUUUAAUGUUGAGCGUUCUCAUUGUAUGGAUUUCAGAAAAUGUAAUCUGACUAGAUUUGGAGUUUGGCAAAGGCAAUGGGUUGCUCUAACUUACAAAAAGGAUUUUUAUUUAAAAGCCUGGGGGAUGUGUGGAGAAAGACAUGAGGUAUAAAUUGAGUCAGUUCUUUCCCUCCUAUGCCCCACCCACAAAUAAAACAGUUGCAUUUAAUAUUUAUGGCCAUAAAAUAUGCCUUGCAUAUGGGGAGAGUCUUCACUCAUGGGUUUUAUUUGUGUCAAAUUAUAUUUUGAGGUUUUUCUGAAGAAGGCAGAAAUGGGAAAAUUGAAAUGGAUUUUGAAGUCAAAGCUCUCUUUGUAAUCCUUGGUCGUGUCAGUGGUACUUGCCUGAAGAAAUCUGGGAAAAUAAUUUACCAUCUCAGAGUCUUGGUUUCCUCAGGAAAACGGCUGGCAGCAAUAAAAAAGAUACUUCCUGGGAUCAAAUCAUCGGACUUGCUGCCAUCGGGACUGUCUUCAAGGCUCCCUGUCACUUACAAAGGAAUUGAGCAUUCCUGGAUGACCCAGCCUUGACACCUGUCUUCAGUUCCCCGAAUGCUGAUGCUAGGCUCCAGCUUGUUGUUGACAUAGAUUAAUAGAUAAUGGUUAAGCUAAUGGAACUAUUGUUUUAGUGCUUUUGGACUUUGAGUUUUUGAUUCUUAAAACACAGGAGAAAAUUGAAUUGAGAAGUGCUGCAAUGAGCAUUUUCUUUUGCCUUUUCUUCAGUAUAGCCUUCUCUCUUCUCUCACUGCAUGAUGGGAAUGGAAAACAUUAAUCCCCAUGCUGAUGGAAAAUGGCAUCUUGGAGUACUGCUGCCCCUCAGAAUACUGCUUGGAUUUACAUCUUCCUACAGCAAAGAAGCAACUGAUUUAGACAGUAUCAAUUUAUUUUUAUUUUAUUUUAAGAACUUUCUCAAAUGGGAAGGGGAUCAAGACAUGGAGGGAGGGAAAGGGAAGAAAGAGAAGGGAUAAAAAAGGAACUAAGAUGUGUUAUUUAUGUGCAUGUACCAGUCCCACACAAAGAAUGUAAACAUUUUGGACUGCAAACACGUAUGGAUAAAACAAAACAAAACAAAAAACCAGAUUGAAACAAAAUAAAUAAAUGUUUACUAUUUACAAAGUGUACAUAUCCAAGUAACUACUCCCUCAUGGCCUCCAAAACCAUUAGCUAAGCAUAAAAAUAGCAAUAGAAAUUUGAUUUGAAGGUCUGAGUCUAUGUGGAAAAUCCUGUUACAAAUUCAGGAGAGGCAGAGGUCAAACAUUCAGAACAGGUGGUAAACUGUCAUUACAUCCUGCCCAGAGGACAGCACAACUCUGCAUCUUGAAAACAUUGUGCUCAGCUGCCCAGGUCUUUUUGAUAACCCCAAACUUGCCAAGUAAUUUCUGCAUCAAGGCAAGUCGAUUUCCCGCUCUUCUUUUCCCUGGAAUUCUUUCCACUCAGCUAUUUCUCGGCAUAACUUCUUCUCAUUUCUUUUUCUGGCUUCUGUUCAAAUACCAUUUUAGUAAGUCAGCUACCUCUGAGCACCUAUAUAAAAUAGCAUCUUCCUGUCAUCCCCAGCCAUACUCUUUCCCCCUUACUCUGUUAAUGUUUUUGGAAUGGAUCUCCACCUGCCAUGUUAUGAGCGUGUUGGUUUGUUGAUUUGCAAUCUCCGCCCUCUAAAAUGCAUUUCUUUGGCUUUCUGCUGAAGUCUAAGAGUCUAGAUCAGCACUUGCCCCUUCACAGACACCAAGUAAUAUUUGAGGCACAAAUGAAUGAAUGCAGCCGGAAGCGCCCACCCUUAGUUCUAGGUCGGACAUGUCCUUAAUUAAUAGACGUUUAUGGAGUGCCAUUUUCUGAUCACCUUUUAUAUAAUAUCCUUUUCUCUUUAUAAGCAUCUUAUAAUAUGACUUUUAUCCCCAAUUGAGAGUUGAGGAAACAGCUCAGAGAGCUCUAAGGAAGUGGACAAGGGCAUGGUUAUGACGGGAGAAGCCAUGCCAUUGAGUCGCAUUGAAAGCUGAGAUUUAUGCCACUGAACUGGGCUACCUCCCACAGUAAGAGCAAAACAGUGGAAUGUUGCACUAAUUACUAAGCAAAGAUCAGCUUAAUGAGCACUAGCUAAUUGCUAGUUUAGCUAACUAGCUAACUAAUUAAGACCUGACUGUGAAUUCUACCAUUGCCCCUGAAAAGGACAAGGAAUCAAGCCAGUUCUUUCUCACUCUCUUUUAAAAACUGAGUAUAUUUGGUAUAAUUUAUAUAUAAUAAAGUACACUAAUCUUUAUUGUUUGAAUAAAUGAAGACACAUUUAUAAACUAUUUUAUAAAAGAUAUAAAAUAUUUCCAUUACCCCAAAAGAUUAUUGCUUACAAUAUCACAGACAUAUCCCCAAGCCUGGGGCUACUAUGACAGAUCUCUGUAGGUCAGCAUAUAUUUUCUAGAACUUUCUAUAAAUAGAAUCUGCAUCGCUCUGCCAAGCAUUAAUGCUUUUGAGAUUCAUUUACAUUCUUGUGUGUUCCUGCAGUUCACUGGUUUUUAUUGCUGGCAUACGUUCCAUUGUAUGAAAUUUAUUUAUAUAUUCUCCUGUUGAUGUACAGUUGAUUGUUUCCAGUUAGAG
This 8022-nucleotide long non-coding RNA is filed under the name Heterocephalus glaber (naked mole-rat). RNAcentral's name for it is "lncRNA (ENSHGLG00000034896.1)". Lineage: Eukaryota; Metazoa; Chordata; Mammalia; Rodentia; Bathyergidae. The record is from RNAcentral.